GCCAUAUCAAGUUGAAACACCGGUUCUCAUCCGAUCAUAGAAGUUAAGCAACGUCCAGCUUGGCCAGCACUGAGAUGGGUGACAGCUUGGGAAUACCAGAUGCUGUAA
Non-coding RNA from Acanthosepion pharaonis, 108 nucleotides. The record is from the annotation of a GenBank genome assembly. NCBI's taxonomy places the organism in Eukaryota, Metazoa, Mollusca, Cephalopoda, Sepiida, Sepiidae.